CUUAAGAGGUGAGGGUGAGAAAAAAUUGUAUAAAAGGGGAGAGAAAAGUUGGCAGGGAAUAGUCGAUUGAGUAUCUCCGGCAAGGCAACAACUGCGUUCUUUGUCGUAAUAUCAGCUCGCAAUCAUGGUUGAUAAUGGCGUUGGGUUGCUGUUGGGUGUUGUAUCGUUGAUGCCGAGCACGAGAGAGAUAAGGCGAUAGAAAUAAAUCGAGCGAGGAUCUCCGACACGGUCAUAACUGCAUUCUUCGUGGUAUUAUCAGCUCUCAAUCACGGUAAACUAUGCCGUCGUGCUGUGCUACACACUACAACUGAUGCUGCUCCAUGCUACUAAACCAUAGCCCCGAAGAAUUGCCCCAAUUGCCCACAAAGCCCCAAAAAGUGAAG
Molecule: long non-coding RNA, 383 nt
Organism: Daphnia pulicaria
Lineage: Eukaryota; Metazoa; Arthropoda; Branchiopoda; Diplostraca; Daphniidae
Exons: 3
Source: RefSeq, a predicted model, not a curated record